Molecule: long non-coding RNA, 2421 nt
Organism: Pyrus x bretschneideri (Chinese white pear)
Lineage: Eukaryota; Viridiplantae; Streptophyta; Magnoliopsida; Rosales; Rosaceae
Exons: 13
Source: RefSeq, a predicted model, not a curated record
CUUGCCACUAGAUGAAGGCGGCUGGGUUAGUUCGUUUUGGGCUGUGUUUGCUGGGCUUACCUCAAUUGUUGAUGAGGCCGGCCCUUUGGGUGUUCAAAUGAUGGGAAUGCCCAUCUAGGGUUAAGAUCGGACGGUCCGGAUUAAAAGUUUGGAGGAUACUUUUGUCAUCUUAAUUGUCGAAAAUCGUUCCCUCUUUUUCUCUCCCGACUCUCUCUGUAACCAUCCAUCCGCUAUGACGUUUGAGCGCAUCUUAGGUUGGGGAGGAGGGCGAAGACGAAUCCGCUCCGAGUGAACUCGGCAUCCGCCGCAACCCACUCAUCGUCUUCGUUUCGCUUCAAAAAUCCGAGCUUAUCUACAUGUCGGUAAAGUACAAAUUUCUUCCAUAACUCUCGAUUCAAUCGUCGGUUGAUGCAUUAAUUUCAAUCGUCCUUUUUUUCCCCUUAUUUCUUCUUCCUUUGCUUCGUUUGUGCUGCUGCUGCUGCUACUUCUUCUUCUUCUUCUUCUUCCCCCUUAUGGUUCCCGCCCUCUCUUGCUUUAUUUCUUUUGGUAUUUUCUCUCUUUAUUUCUUCAGAUAUUUUCUCUCUCUUCAAAAUCCCACAACAGUCUUGAUUUGGAGGCUUUGGCUCUGUUGGGUUUUUUUUCCAAUAGCUCAAAAGGGCCGAAAGGGGUUCACCAUGAACCACCUCUUUUUGCAGCUAUUAUACUUUGAUUAGGAAGAGAUUGGUGGAUUUAGCCUUUGCCUACAGAAUUUUGGGUCGUUGGUGGAACAACUUGGUUGCUUGACAUUAUAAGGUUCACAUACAAAUGUGACUAGCAGUUAAAGUUCCAUAAGGAGGUGGAAGCAGAAGAAGAAUUGGCGUCACCCUUCAGUUUUUCAACCAAAAGGAGGUACUAUGAAAUGGGACCCGACAAUCUACCAUAUGCUGCCAAGUUCUAUGACUUCUGUGGGGCUGAGGGUCUUGAGGCAUCUAGCUGCACUACCAGUUUCCAUGUUUUGUAUGAUGACAAUUGAUUCAUAUUUUCAGUUUUUAAACAAUAAGAUAAUGUAACCGUUCAAACUCCAGAGUGCUUUGUCAUUAAGAGCUUUUUCGAAUUGGAGGGAAGCUAUCAGAUCUCAAAAACCAAAUCUGCAGGUGAAUUGGCCCUUGCCAUUACCUGGAAAUGACUCCUCUCACUCCCAAAAGAUAAAUUCAGAAAUUCGACGGGUAAUUUUUGGUUAAACGGCAAGCAAAUGUCGUCAUCCUUCUUGCUACAAGGCCACAGCGCAACCACACACCACCCUUCUGCUCCUACUGGUGAGGUAAUAAACGUGGUCCAACCAGUAUCUGAUAAAAUGUCAUUGUAUAUAUGCUUUUGUCGAUUUCUGCUACGAUGAUGAGGGAAUAGAGAGGAUUGAGGCCAGUCGAUCUGAGGUUGAUCAAUCUUGAAUUCGGAAUUCCCUUGGAAACUGUCACAAGUGAUGUGUCUGUUGUGGCUACAUGAAUCAUUUCUCUCUACGAUGUUCUAUCCCAAUUUCUCUCAGACAGUAAGGGUUUUGGUUUGCUUUCUUGGAUUAGAUUUGUAUAUAUUCCAUUGCAUCUCAGUUUUCUUUGAUUUAAUAGCAUAAUCUGGCUCUUGGUAUUCUAACUUUGCUUGCUUUGCAUCAAAAUUGUAUCUGGCUCUUGGUUUUCUUGAUCUAAUUUUUUAUUUAUUUCGAUAAUUAGAUAAAUUAAGGAAAGAAUUUCUAUUAGUAUGAGUAUUCGAUUCUGAUAUAUCAUUUUCCUCCAUUUGACGUGAUUUUGGAUUAUUAGGACUAAUACAAGGAUAUAUUAGACUUUUAGUGUUUUCAGGCAUUCGCGCGUUUGCUUAUUAUAGAUGAUAUAUUUCUGUAGUGCACUAAUAUUUGUUUUAAAAAAAUUAAUUAGUUUUUCCUCCCUGGUGUUUGCUAAAGGUGCUUCUCGAGACGGUGUUGGAAUGUGCAGGUGAUAAGGAUUCAGGGGAUGAGGAGGAAAUGGCAAAGGAGGAGGACCAAAACACAUUCUCUGUUAGGAUAAUUGGUGCCCUGAAUGCCAUAAAGUCUGCACUCACCACUCAUUAAUUAUAUGGUGAAAGUUUUUAUGCAACCUCAUUACUUGCAAAAUUUUGUUCAAUCAACAUUCAAUGCCCUGCCAUCAGAUCAAGUUAAAGUAAGGAGAAAGCUACUACUCUUAUGGAGCUUCUUUGGCAUGGUUAUUCUCAAUCCACAGAUAGUGAUUAUUUAACGACUUCUCCAAACUUCGCUACUCAGCUUUUCAAGUACUUGCAAUUUAUUCUUAAUCAUUCUAAAUUAUUCUUAAUCAUUUACAACUUGCAGAAUUAGUUAAAUGUAUCAAAUGACUAGCGUGUGAAUUUGUGUGUGUGGCUAAAAAUAAUCUUAUCCUUAAGGAUUAUUGAUUGGGCAAA